Molecule: transfer RNA, 73 nt
Rfam family: tRNA
About the family: Transfer RNA (tRNA) molecules are approximately 80 nucleotides in length.
Source: Rfam
CGGGGUGUAGCGCAAUUGGCAGCGCGCUUGGUUUGGGACCAAGAUGCUGGAGGUUCAAGUCCUCUCACUCCGA